Molecule: ribosomal RNA, 497 nt
Filed under: uncultured bacterium
Lineage: Bacteria
Description: partial 16S ribosomal RNA
Rfam family: Bacterial small subunit ribosomal RNA
Source: RNAcentral
GAUGAACGCUGGCGGCGUGCCUAAUACAUGCAAGUCGAGCGAACAGAUAAGGAGCUUGCUCCUUUGACGUUAGCGGCGGACGGGUGAGUAACACGUGGGUAACCUACCUAUAAGACUGGAAUAACUCCGGGAAACCGGGGCUAAUGCCGGAUAACAUUUAGAACCGCAUGGUUCUAAAGUGAAAGAUGGUUUUGCUAUCACUUAUAGAUGGACCCGCGCCGUAUUAGCUAGUUGGUAAGGUAACGGCUUACCAAGGCAACGAUACGUAGCCGACCUGAGAGGGUGAUCGGCCACACUGGAACUGAGACACGGUCCAGACGCCUACGGGAGGCAGCAGUAGGGAAUCUUCCGCAAUGGGCGAAAGCCUGACGGAGCAACGCCGCGUGAGUGAUGAAGGUCUUCGGAUCGUAAAACUCUGUUAUUAGGGAAGAACAAAUGUGUAAGUAACUGUGCACGUCUUGACGGUACCUAAUCAGAAAGCCACGGCUAACUACGUG